This 262-nucleotide long non-coding RNA is filed under the name Salvia miltiorrhiza (redroot sage). Its description in RNAcentral is "long non-coding RNA (SMIL_LNC010570)". The record is from RNAcentral. Lineage: Eukaryota; Viridiplantae; Streptophyta; Magnoliopsida; Lamiales; Lamiaceae.
UUUAUUGAGGGUUGUAAUGUAGGCUCUUUGGUAGGGUAGGAUAUAUUUGGCUAAGUGACUAAUAGAUACUCUCAAUGUAGCAUGAUCACCAACCUUAUAGCAUUCUUACUCAACACAAUCCUCCACCUCCCAUAAAACCAAAAUUUUCAAUACAAAAAUCAUCACAACUCAACAAUUAUUUCUCAUAACAUUAUGUCUCUCUAGUGCAUCCUAUGUACCCAUUUUUUUCCAAUUCUUUUCUCUUUUUUUCUUUUCUUUUUCU